UGGGGAAUAUUGGACAAUGGGCGCAAGCCUGAUCCAGCCAUGUCGCGUGAGUGAUGAAGGCCCUAGGGUUGUAAAGCUCUUUCACCGGUGAAGAUAAUGACGGUAACCGGAGAAGAAGCCCCGGCUAACUUCGUGCCAGCAGCCGCGGUAAUACGAAGGGGGCUAGCGUUGUUCGGAUUUACUGGGCGUAAAGCGCACGUAGGCGGACUAUUAAGUCAGGGGUGAAAUCCCGGGGCUCAACCCCGGAACUGCCUUUGAUACUGGUAGUCUUGAGUUCGAGAGAGGUGAGUGGAAUUCCGAGUGUAGAGGUGAAAUUCGUAGAUAUUCGGAGGAACACCAGUGGCGAAGGCGGCUCACUGGCUCGAUACUGACGCUGGGGUGCGAGAGCGUGGGGAGCAAACAGG
This 404-nucleotide ribosomal RNA is filed under the name Verrucomicrobiota bacterium. RNAcentral's name for it is "Verrucomicrobia bacterium partial 16S ribosomal RNA". It matches the Rfam family "Bacterial small subunit ribosomal RNA", at positions 355 to 776 of the family's 1533-position model. The record is from RNAcentral. Lineage: Bacteria; Pseudomonadati; Verrucomicrobiota.